GACGAGCGCUGGCGGUGUGCUUAACACAUGCAAGUCGAACGGUAAGGCCCUUUCGGGGGUACACGAGUGGCGAACGGGUGAGUAACACGUGAGUAACCUGCCCUCAUCUCUGGGAUAACAGUCGGAAACGGUUGCUAAUACUGGAUAUGAGCUUGCAAGGCAUCUUGUGGGUUGGAAAGAUUUUUUGGUUGGGGAUGGACUCGCGGCCUAUCAGCUUGUUGGUGAGGUAGUGGCUCACCAAGGCUUCGACGGGUAGCCGGCCUGAGAGGGCGACCGGCCACAUUGGGACUGAGAUACGGCCCAGACUCCUACGGGGAGGCAGCAGUGGGGGAAAUAUUGCACAAAUGGGACGGGAAAGUUCUGAUGCAAGCAAACCGCCCUCCG
Molecule: ribosomal RNA, 384 nt
Filed under: Arachnia propionica
Lineage: Bacteria; Bacillati; Actinomycetota; Actinomycetes; Propionibacteriales; Propionibacteriaceae
Description: bacterial SSU rRNA
Rfam family: Bacterial small subunit ribosomal RNA
Source: RNAcentral